RNAcentral lists this ribosomal RNA (1375 nucleotides) under uncultured bacterium. Its description in RNAcentral is "bacterial SSU rRNA". It matches the Rfam family "Bacterial small subunit ribosomal RNA", at positions 29 to 1394 of the family's 1533-position model. The record is from RNAcentral.
UUGAACGCUGGCGGUAUGCUUAACACAUGCAAGUCGAACGGAAACGAUACUAGCUUGCUAGUAGGCGUCGAGUGGCGGACGGGUGAGUAACGCGUAGGAAUCUGCCUGAUAGUGGGGGAUAGCCCGAAGAAAUUCGGAUUAAUACCGCAUAAUCUAUUCGUAGUAAAGUGGGGGACUUUCGAGCCUCACGCUAUCAGAUGAGCCUGCGUAAGAUUAGCUAGUUGGUAGGGUAAAAGCCUACCAAGGCAACGAUCUUUAGCUGGUCUGAGAGGAUGAUCAGCCACAUCGGGACUGAGACACGGCCCGAACUCCUACGGGAGGCAGCAGUGGGGAAUAUUGGACAAUGGGGGCAACCCUGAUCCAGCAAUACCGCGUGUGUGAAGAAGGCCUGAGGGUUGUAAAGCACUUUCAAUUGUGAAGAAAAGUUAACGGUUAAUAACCGUUAGCCUUGACGUUAACUUUAGAAGAAGCACCGGCUAACUCCGUGCCAGCAGCCGCGGUAAUACGGAGGGUGCAAGCGUUAAUCGGAAUUACUGGGCGUAAAGCGUGCGUAGGCGGUUUAUUAAGUCAGAUGUGAAAGCCCCGGGCUUAACCUGGGAACUGCAUUUGAAACUGGUCAACUAGAGUAUGGUAGAGGAAAGUGGAAUUUCUGGUGUAGCGGUGAAAUGCGUAGAUAUCAGAAGGAACAUCAAUGGCGAAGGCAGCUUUCUGGACCAAUACUGACGCUGAGGUACGAAAGCGUGGGUAGCAAACAGGAUUAGAUACCCCUGGUAGUCCACGCCGUAAACGAUGAUAACUAGCCGUUGGAGGGAUUUACCCUUUAGUGGCGAAGCUAACGCGUUAAGUUAUCCGCCUGGGGAGUACGGCCGCAAGGUUAAAACUCAAAGGAAUUGACGGGGACCCGCACAAGCGGUGGAGCAUGUGGUUUAAUUCGAUGCAACGCGAAGAACCUUACCUGGUCUUGACAUCCUGCGAACUUUCUAGAAAUAGAUUGGUGCCUUCGGGAACGCAGUGACAGGUGCUGCAUGGCUGUCGUCAGCUCGUGUCGUGAGAUGUUGGGUUAAGUCCCGUAACGAGCGCAACCCCUAUCCUUAUUUGCCAGCACGUCAUGGUGGGAACUAUAAGGAGACUGCCGGUGAUAAACCGGAGGAAGGCGGGGACGACGUCAAGUCAUCAUGGCCCUUACGACCAGGGCUACACACGUGCUACAAUGGGAAGGACAAAGAGCCGCGAAGCCGCGAGGUGUAGCUAAUCUCAGAAACCUUUUCGUAGUCCGGAUUGGAGUCUGCAACUCGACUCCAUGAAGUCGGAAUCGCUAGUAAUCGUAGAUCAGAAUGCUACGGUGAAUACGUUCCCGGGUCUUGUACUCACCGCC